This 469-nucleotide ribosomal RNA is filed under the name Paenibacillus sp. R-45993. RNAcentral describes it as "bacterial SSU rRNA". It matches the Rfam family "Bacterial small subunit ribosomal RNA", at positions 22 to 476 of the family's 1533-position model. Lineage: Bacteria; Bacillati; Bacillota; Bacilli; Caryophanales; Paenibacillaceae. The record is from RNAcentral.
GCUCAGGACGAACGCUGGCGGCGUGCCUAAUACAUGCAAGUCGAGCGGACUUGAAGGAGUGCUUGCACUCCUGAGAGUUAGCGGCGGACGGGUGAGUAACACGUAGGCAACCUGCCCUCAAGACUGGGAUAACUACCGGAAACGGUAGCUAAUACCGGAUAAUUUAUUWCAYAGCAUUAUGKRAUAAUGAAAGACGGAGCAAUCUGUCACUUGGGGAUGGGCCUGCGGCGCAUUAGCUAGUUGGUGGGGUAAYGGCCCACCAAGGCGACGAUGCGUAGCCGACCUGAGAGGGUGAACGGCCACACUGGGACUGAGACACGGCCCAGACUCCUACGGGAGGCAGCAGUAGGGAAUCUUCCGCAAUGGGCGAAAGCCUGACGGAGCAACGCCGCGUGAGUGAUGAAGGUUUUCGGAUCGUAAAGCUCUGUUGCCAAGGAAGAACGUCUCAUAGAGUAACUGCUAUGAGAGU